Molecule: non-coding RNA, 183 nt
Organism: Vicia faba (fava bean)
Lineage: Eukaryota; Viridiplantae; Streptophyta; Magnoliopsida; Fabales; Fabaceae
Source: the annotation of a GenBank genome assembly
AUGGUGGUCGUGUGCAUCUUAGGGACGUGUGAUUUGCGUGUAUUGGAUGAUGAAGCUUUAUUAUAUUUUCUUUUUCAAAACAAAAUAAUAAAAUUUUCUUUUAUGUUAUAUUCCUUCUCUAUAUCUCUCAGCAUCACAUCCCUCCUCCUUCUUCCCCAAACCCAAACCCUUAGCUCAAACUAG